Molecule: ribosomal RNA, 1423 nt
Filed under: Vibrio ichthyoenteri
Lineage: Bacteria; Pseudomonadati; Pseudomonadota; Gammaproteobacteria; Vibrionales; Vibrionaceae
Description: 16S ribosomal RNA
Rfam family: Bacterial small subunit ribosomal RNA
Source: RNAcentral
GCCUAACACAUGCAAGUCGAGCGGUAACAGAUAGAAAGCUUGCUUUCUUUGCUGACGAGCGGCGGACGGGUGAGUAAUGCCUGGGAAUAUGCCUUGAUGUGGGGGAUAACCAUUGGAAACGAUGGCUAAUACCGCAUAAUGCCUACGGGCCAAAGAGGGGGAUCUUCGGACCUCUCGCGUCAAGAUUAGCCCAGGUGGGAUUAGCUAGUUGGUGAGGUAAUGGCUCACCAAGGCGACGAUCCCUAGCUGGUCUGAGAGGAUGAUCAGCCACACUGGAACUGAGACACGGUCCAGACUCCUACGGGAGGCAGCAGUGGGGAAUAUUGCACAAUGGGCGCAAGCCUGAUGCAGCCAUGCCGCGUGUGUGAAGAAGGCCUUCGGGUUGUAAAGCACUUUCAGUCGUGAGGAAGGUAGUUGCGUUAAUAGCGUAAUUAUUUGACGUUAGCGACAGAAGAAGCACCGGCUAACUCCGUGCCAGCAGCCGCGGUAAUACGGAGGGUGCGAGCGUUAAUCGGAAUUACUGGGCGUAAAGCGCAUGCAGGUGGUUUGUUAAGUCAGAUGUGAAAGCCCGGGGCUCAACCUCGGAAUUGCAUUUGAAACUGGCAGACUAGAGUACUGUAGAGGGGGGUAGAAUUUCAGGUGUAGCGGUGAAAUGCGUAGAGAUCUGAAGGAAUACCGGUGGCGAAGGCGGCCCCCUGGACAGAUACUGACACUCAGAUGCGAAAGCGUGGGGAGCAAACAGGAUUAGAUACCCUGGUAGUCCACGCCGUAAACGAUGUCUACUUGGAGGUUGUGGCCUUGAGCCGUGGCUUUCGGAGCUAACGCGUUAAGUAGACCGCCUGGGGAGUACGGUCGCAAGAUUAAAACUCAAAUGAAUUGACGGGGGCCCGCACAAGCGGUGGAGCAUGUGGUUUAAUUCGAUGCAACGCGAAGAACCUUACCUACUCUUGACAUCCAGAGAAGCCAGCGGAGACGCAGGUGUGCCUUCGGGAACUCUGAGACAGGUGCUGCAUGGCUGUCGUCAGCUCGUGUUGUGAAAUGUUGGGUUAAGUCCCGCAACGAGCGCAACCCUUAUCCUUGUUUGCCAGCGAGUAAUGUCGGGAACUCCAGGGAGACUGCCGGUGAUAAACCGGAGGAAGGUGGGGACGACGUCAAGUCAUCAUGGCCCUUACGAGUAGGGCUACACACGUGCUACAAUGGCGCAUACAGAGGGCUGCCAACCAGCGAUGGUGAGCGAAUCCCAAAAAGUGCGUCGUAGUCCGGAUUGGAGUCUGCAACUCGACUCCAUGAAGUCGGAAUCGCUAGUAAUCGUGGAUCAGAAUGCCACGGUGAAUACGUUCCCGGGCCUUGUACACACCGCCCGUCACACCAUGGGAGUGGGCUGCAAAAGAAGUGGGUAGUUUAACCUUUCGAGGAGGACGCU